Molecule: ribosomal RNA, 278 nt
Filed under: unidentified marine bacterioplankton
Lineage: Bacteria
Description: partial 16S ribosomal RNA
Rfam family: Bacterial small subunit ribosomal RNA
Source: RNAcentral
CAGCACAAAUAAAGCUUGCUUUAUUGGUGGCGACCGGCGCACGGGUGAGUAACGCGUAUGCUACCUACCUUAUACUGGAAGAUAGCCCGAAGAAAUUCGGAUUAAUAUUCCAUAGUAUUAUUGAUAAGCAUUUAUUGAUAAUUAAAGCUCCGGCGGUAUAAGAUGGGCAUGCGUCCUAUUAGCUAGAUGGUAAGGUAACGGCUUACCAUGGCUACGAUAGGUAGGGGGGCCUGAGAGGGUGGUCCCCCACACUGGUACUGAGACACGGACCAGACUCC